RNAcentral lists this long non-coding RNA (242 nucleotides) under Malus domestica (apple). RNAcentral's name for it is "long non-coding RNA (MDOM_LNC000091)". The record is from RNAcentral. Lineage: Eukaryota; Viridiplantae; Streptophyta; Magnoliopsida; Rosales; Rosaceae.
UCCACUCCCCUGGGCGAUGUGGGAUCUAACACCCUAUGUUUUCUUUUCUUAUCUUUUCAUAAUAUUAUUUUCAUGUAUUUUAUUUCAAGCUUUAUUUAGUUUUCAGUUUAAUUCAACUCAUAUCUCUUUUUCGUUAAAACUUCUCAAUUAUAAUUUGUUUCAAUUUAGUUAGUAAGACUUUUAGGAUUAAUUCGAUCUUCGUGGAAUGAUAUAUGUGCUUAUAUGCUAUACUAUCAUAUGAU